UGGGGAAUUUUGCACAAUGGGGGAAACCCUGAUGCAGCGACGCCGCGUGAUUUAGAAGGCCUUCGGGUUGUAAAAAUCUUUUCUAUGGGAAGAAAAUGACAGUACCAUAGGAAUAAGGACCGGCUAAUUACGUUCCAGCAGCCGCGGUAAUACGUAAGGUCCGAGCGUUGUCCGGAAUCAUUGGGCGUAAAGGGUACGUAGGCGGGUAAGCAAGUCAGAAGUGAAAUCCUAUAGCUCAACUAUAGUAAGCUUUUAAAACUGCUCAUCUUGAGGUAUGGAAGGGAAAGUGGAAUUCCUCGUGUAGCGGUGAAAUGCGCAGAUAUUAGGAGGAAUACCGGUGGCGAAGGCGACUUUCUGGCCAUAACCUGACGCUGAGGUACGAAAGCGUGGGUAGCAAACAGG
Molecule: ribosomal RNA, 402 nt
Filed under: bacterium
Lineage: Bacteria
Description: partial 16S ribosomal RNA
Rfam family: Bacterial small subunit ribosomal RNA
Source: RNAcentral